Molecule: non-coding RNA, 73 nt
Organism: Deltaproteobacteria bacterium GWA2_55_10
Lineage: Bacteria; Deltaproteobacteria
Source: Rfam
GUGGACGUGGCUCAACGGUUAGAGCACUGGACUGUGACUCCGGGGGUUGGGGGUUCGAAUCCCCUCGUCCACC